Molecule: ribosomal RNA, 716 nt
Filed under: Barrufeta bravensis
Lineage: Eukaryota; Dinophyceae; Gymnodiniales; Gymnodiniaceae
Description: eukaryotic LSU rRNA
Rfam family: Eukaryotic large subunit ribosomal RNA
Source: RNAcentral
UAAGUAAGCGGAGGAUAAGAAACUAAAUAGGAUUCCCUUAGUAAUGGCGAAUGAACAGGGAUGAGCUCAAUAUGGAAAUUGCGGCCUCUGGCUGUGAAUUGUAAUCUCAAGAUGUAUUAGCUAACGGGGGCGUGGGUGUAAGCCUCUUGGAAAAGAGAACCAUAGAGGGUGAGAAUCCCGUCUGUCAUCCACAGUCCUCCGUGCACGGCGUACGUUCUUAGAGUCACGUUCCUCGGGAUUGGAGCGCAAACUGGGUGGUAAGUUUCAUCUCAAGCUGAAUAUGGGUUCGAAACCGAUAGCAAACAAGUACCAUGAGGGAAAGAUGAAAAGGACUUUGAAAAGAGAGUUAAAAGUGCCUGAACUUGCUGAAAGGAAAGCGGAUGGAACCAGUGUUGCUUGGUGAGAUUGUUGCRCGCUAUGGUGAUUCUCGCUGCGGCAGCGUAAGCGUCGCUGUGGGUURUAUCCUGUUGCGUGUGAUGCUUCUUACCUUGUGCGUCAUCGUCAGUUUGCGGGCGGGGAUAACCCUUGAGACCUGGUAGCACGGCUGCGGCUGUGUGAAAGUGUCUUGCGGAACUCGCCUGCAGACUGGUACCCUUACGUGUGGUUGCGCUGCUUCCGAGCAUUCGGCGCACGCGCCUUCGUGGCGAGUGUUGCUGUUUGUUUCGGCUUAGCACCUUCCACACACUCAUGGUGACUAAAUGGUUCUAUUCGACCCG